This 440-nucleotide ribosomal RNA is filed under the name uncultured bacterium. RNAcentral's name for it is "partial 16S ribosomal RNA". It matches the Rfam family "Bacterial small subunit ribosomal RNA", at positions 338 to 792 of the family's 1533-position model. The record is from RNAcentral.
CCUACGGGUGGCAGCAGUGGGGAAUAUUGGGCAAUGGGCGCAAGCCUGACCCAGCAACGCCGCGUGAAGGAAGAAGGCUUUCGGGUUGUAAACUUCUUUUAUCAGGGACGAAGCAAGUGACGGUACCUGAUGAAUAAGCCACGGCUAACUACGUGCCAGCAGCCGCGGUACUACGUAGGUGGCAAGCGUUAUCCGGAUUUACUGGGUGUAAAGGGCGUGUAGGCUGGAGUGCAAGUCAGAUGUGAAAACUAUGGGCUCAACACAUAGCCGGCAGUUGCAACUGUACUUCUUGAGAGCUGGAGAGGCAAGCGGAAGUCGGGGUGUAGCGGUGAAAUGCGUAGAUAUACGGAGGAACACCAGUGGCGAAGGCGGAUUGCUGGACAGUAACUGACGCUGAGGCGCGAAAGCGUGAGGAGCAAACAGGAGUAGAUACCCGAGUC